CGAGUUCCCGUACGAUCACUGAAGUUAAGCAACGUCUAGCCUGGUCAGUACCUAGAUGGGUAACCACUUAGGAAUAACAGGUGCUGCAAG
Molecule: non-coding RNA, 90 nt
Organism: Acanthosepion pharaonis
Lineage: Eukaryota; Metazoa; Mollusca; Cephalopoda; Sepiida; Sepiidae
Source: the annotation of a GenBank genome assembly